GACGAACCGAGCGAGCGUUGUUCGGAAUAACUGGGCUUAAAGCGCGCGCAGGCGGCCUCGCGCGCCCGACGUGAAAGCCCCCGGCUUAACCGGGGAGGGUCGUUGGGGACGGCGGGGCUUGAGGGCGGGAGAGGGUGGUGGAAUUCCCGGUGUAGUGGUGAAAUGCGUAGAGAUCGGGAGGAACACCCGUGGCAAAGGCGGCCACCUGGGCCGACCCUGACGCUGAGGCGCGAAGGCGUGGGGAGCGAACGGG
Molecule: ribosomal RNA, 253 nt
Filed under: uncultured bacterium
Lineage: Bacteria
Description: partial 16S ribosomal RNA
Rfam family: Bacterial small subunit ribosomal RNA
Source: RNAcentral